Ictalurus punctatus (channel catfish) is the source of this 1339-nucleotide long non-coding RNA. Lineage: Eukaryota; Metazoa; Chordata; Actinopteri; Siluriformes; Ictaluridae. The record is from Ensembl.
GGGGGGAACUUCACAGCAGUUAUUUGGUGUUCUGUCAAUCUGUGGGGAGGGAAGGGGGACUGUGUUUUUUGGUAUGUGAACUUGAAAGCAUGCAUUGUGUUAGAGUAUAUAAUAUUCUAUACUGGGACUUUGUCUAGCCUUGUGGUAGUGUAGGGGUAAAAUGGUGCAUGGACAGUUUUUCAGAGAGUCUGGAUGCCAUGUGCAAGGGGAAACUUUCAGUCAGUCAGUCAGUUCGCAACUCCUGUUUAUUGUGUUUUCAUUUUGUUUUGUCCAAACCUAUCUGGAUAAAAUGUUUAGCACUAAAUGGAUAUUUAGAAGGUGACCCAAUUGGUCAGGGGCGCAGACCUGUCUUAUUUGUUCACAUUAAAGUCUGCCACAAUAGUCAGCAUCACCUGCAUGCUUGGAUAUACAGUACAUACACACGUGUGCACGUGGGCACACAUACCAAGAAAGGCAUUUAAACUUGUAUUGCAAACCUGCUCCUUACACCAGAUGUUUUGAAUGUGUUAAGUUAUCGACUGUAUUGAUGUCAUGUGUGACCUUUUGUCUAAACAAAGUUUGUGGAGCUAAGUGUUCUGGAAAUGAAUAGUCAGAUUGUCCUUUAAUAUAUAAAUAUAUAUAUAAACAGUUUUGUUUGUUUUUUAAAUGUCAUCUGAUGCCGUUUCUUUCAGGGUACAGAUUGCAAUGAGGCGGGAAGAAAGAAAAUAUCCGAUUUUUGUCAUAAAAUGUCUGUGUUUGAGGUUGUCGGUAGUGUGUGAACUCUGAAGGCAGUGUGAGAAAACCAUUCUCCUGACAAAAACUUCCUAAAAACCCCUAAUUAUUCCCAAUUUUGCUCACUGAAUUUUGACAUAGACCAUUGUAAUGGAAAGAAAGACAAAAGAAACUCCCAGGCUGUCGAGAUGAGAUAGAUAGCGUCUGAAGAAUUGGGCUAAACAGCUCCUGCAACGAGUCAAUAUGCUAACAGUGAGGGGGAAAUGAGCUUGGUGAGAAUAUUUGAAGAGUUAAGAGAAUUCGAAAGGAAAACAAUGAAAAAGUGGUGGUCAUUAAGGGGGAUUUAAAUAACAUUACCAAGAGGAGGGAGGAAGCUGAGAGUCGUACCGCAGAGGCUGAGGAACAAAUACAACAGACGGGGGAGGUGCUGUCUGAACUGCUAACGCUUCAGGCCCAGCUUGAGGCUAAAUUGACAUAUCAGGAGGGUAGGUCCAGGCGGGAAAACAUCCGUAUAUACGGGCAACCGGAAGGCAGCGAAAAUGACCCAUCAACCAUCAGCUUCAUUGAAGAACUACUGAAGAAUGGGCUGGGGCUUAACCCAGCGACAGACCUGCUUAUUCAGAGGGCU